Molecule: ribosomal RNA, 490 nt
Filed under: uncultured bacterium
Lineage: Bacteria
Description: partial 16S ribosomal RNA
Rfam family: Bacterial small subunit ribosomal RNA
Source: RNAcentral
AUUGAACGCUGGCGGCAGGCCUAACACAUGCAAGUCGAACGGUAACAGGAAGCAGCUUGCUGCUUUGCUGACGAGUGGCGGACGGGUGAGUAAUGUCUGGGAAACUGCCCGAUGGAGGGGGAUAACUACUGGAAACGGUAGCUAAUACCGCAUAACGUCGCAAGAACAAAGAGGGGGACCUUAGGGCCUCUUGCCAUCGGAUGUGCCCAGAUGGGAUUAGCUAGUAGGUGGUGUAACGGCUCACCUAGGCGACGAUCCCUAGCUGGUCUGAGAGGAUGACCAGCCACACUGGAACUGAGACACGGUCCAGACUCCUACGGGAGGCAGCAGUGGGGAAUAUUGCACAAUGGGCGCAAGCCUGAUGCAGCCAUGCCGCGUGUAUGAAGAAGGCCUUCGGGUUGUAAAGUACUUUCAGCGGGGAGGAAGGGAGUAAAGUUAAUACCUUUGCUCAUUGACGUUACCCGCAGAAGAAGCACCGGCUAACUCCGUG